GACGAACGCUGGCGGCGUGCUUAACACAUGCAAGUCGAACGGAAAGGCCCCUUUGGGGGUCCUCGAGUGGCGCACGGGUGCGUAACACGUGAGUAACCUGCCCUUGACUUCGGGAUAACUUCAGGAAACUGGGGCUAAUACCGGAUAGGAAUCCUUGCUGCAUGGUGGGGGUUGGAAAGCUUCGGCGGUUUUGGAUGGACUCGCGGCUUAUCAGCUUGUUGGUGGGGUAGUGGCUUACCAAGGCUUUGACGGGUAGCCGGCCUGAGAGGGCGACCGGCCACAUUGGGACUGAGAGACGGCCCAGACUCCUACGGGAGGCAGCAGUGGGGAAUAUUGCACAAUGGGCGGAAGCCUGAUGCAGCAACGCCGCGUGCGGGAUGACGGCCUUCGGGUUGUAAACCGCUUUCAGCAGGGGCGAAGCUUGUGGUGACGGUACCUGCAGAAGAAGCACCGGCUAACUACGUG
Molecule: ribosomal RNA, 465 nt
Filed under: uncultured bacterium
Lineage: Bacteria
Description: partial 16S ribosomal RNA
Rfam family: Bacterial small subunit ribosomal RNA
Source: RNAcentral